CCCUUAGAUGUUCUGGGCCGCACACGCGCUACACUGAAGGAGGCAGCGUGUACUCCUGGAUCGAAAGAUUUGGGUAACCCGCGAAUCUCCUUCGUGCUAGGGAUUGAGGUUUGCAAUUAUCCUUCAUGAACGAGGAAUUCCCAGUAAGUGCAAGUCAUAAGCUUGCGCUGACUACGUCCCUGCCCUUUGUACACACCGCCCGUCGCUACUACCGAUUGGGUGAUCCGGUGAAUGGUUCGGACUCUGGCUAUGCUAGCUACUAGCUACGUCAGGGAAAGUUCUGUGAACCUUAUCACUUGGAGGAAGGAGAAGUCGUAACA
RNAcentral lists this ribosomal RNA (320 nucleotides) under uncultured eukaryote. RNAcentral's name for it is "partial 18S ribosomal RNA". It matches the Rfam family "Eukaryotic small subunit ribosomal RNA", at positions 1470 to 1796 of the family's 1831-position model. The record is from RNAcentral.